RNAcentral lists this ribosomal RNA (392 nucleotides) under uncultured bacterium. RNAcentral describes it as "bacterial SSU rRNA". It matches the Rfam family "Bacterial small subunit ribosomal RNA", at positions 30 to 422 of the family's 1533-position model. The record is from RNAcentral.
AUUGAACGCUGGCGGCAUGCCUUACACAUGCAAGUCGAACGGCAGCACGGGAGCAAUCCUGGUGGCGAGUGGCGAACGGGUGAGUAAUAUAUCGGAACGUGCCCAGUCGUGGGGGAUAACGUAGCGAAAGCUACGCUAAUACCGCAUACGAUCUAUGGAUGAAAGCGGGGGAUCGCAAGACCUCGCGCGAUUGGAGCGGCCGAUAUCAGAUUAGGUAGUUGGUGAGGUAAAGGCUCACCAAGCCGACGAUCUGUAGCUGGUCUGAGAGGACGACCAGCCACACUGGGACUGAGACACGGCCCAGACUCCUACGGGAGGCAGCAGUGGGGAAUUUUGGACAAUGGGCGCAAGCCUGAUCCAGCAAUGCCGCGUGCAGGAUGAAGGCCUCGGUG